This 454-nucleotide ribosomal RNA is filed under the name uncultured Desulfobulbus sp. Its description in RNAcentral is "bacterial SSU rRNA". It matches the Rfam family "Bacterial small subunit ribosomal RNA", at positions 933 to 1382 of the family's 1533-position model. The record is from RNAcentral. Lineage: Bacteria; Pseudomonadati; Thermodesulfobacteriota; Desulfobulbia; Desulfobulbales; Desulfobulbaceae.
UGGAGUAUGUGGUUUAAUUCGAUGCAACGCGAAGAACCUUACCUGGUCUUGACAUCCCGGAGACCCUUAGGAUACUAGGGGUGCUUCCAUCUGGAAGAAUCUGGAGACAGGUGCUGCAUGGCUGUCGUCAGCUCGUGUCGUGAGAUGUUGGGUUAAGUCCCGCAACGAGCGCAACCCUUGCCUUUAGUUGCCAGCAGUUCGGCUGGGCACUCUAAAGGGACUGCCGGUGUUAAACCGGAGGAAGGUGGGGAUGACGUCAAGUCCUCAUGGCCUUUAUGACCAGGGCUACACACGUACUACAAUGGCCGAUACAAAGGGCAGCGACACUGCGAGGUGAAGCCAAUCCCGUAAAAUCGGUCUCAGUCCGGAUUGGAGUCUGCAACUCGACUCCAUGAAGUUGGAAUCGCUAGUAAUCGUGGAUCAGCAUGCCACGGUGAAUACGUUCCCGGGCCUU